AAAUUGAAGAGUUUGAUCAUGGCUCAGAUUGAACGCUGGCGGCAGGCCUAACACAUGCAAGUCGAGCGGUAGCACAGAGAGCUUGCUCUCGGGUGACGAGCGGCGGACGGGUGAGUAAUGUCUGGGAAACUGCCUGAUGGAGGGGGAUAACUACUGGAAACGGUAGCUAAUACCGCAUAAUGUCGCAAGACCAAAGUGGGGGACCUUCGGGCCUCAUGCCAUCAGAUGUGCCCAGAUGGGAUUAGCUAGUAGGUGGGGUAACGGCUCACCUAGGCGACGAUCCCUAGCUGGUCUGAGAGGAUGACCAGCCACACUGGAACUGAGACACGGUCCAGACUCCUACGGGAGGCAGCAGUGGGGAAUAUUGCACAAUGGGCGCAAGCCUGAUGCAGCCAUGCCGCGUGUGUGAAGAAGGCCUUCGGGUUGUAAAGCACUUUCAGCGGGGAGGAAGGCGAUAAGGUUAAUAACCUUGUCGAUUGACGUUACCCGCAGAAGAAGCACCGGCUAACUCCGUGCCAGCAGCCGCGGUAAUACGGAGGGUGCAAGCGUUAAUCGGAAUUACUGGGCGUAAAGCGCACGCAGGCGGUCUGUCAAGUCGGAUGUGAAAUCCCCGGGCUCAACCUGGGAACUGCAUUCGAAACUGGCAGGCUAGAGUCUUGUAGAGGGGGGUAGAAUUCCAGGUGUAGCGGUGAAAUGCGUAGAGAUCUGGAGGAAUACCGGUGGCGAAGGCGGCCCCCUGGACAAAGACUGACGCUCAGGUGCGAAAGCGUGGGGAGCAAACAGGAUUAGAUACCCUGGUAGUCCACGCUGUAAACGAUGUCGAUUUGGAGGUUGUGCCCUUGAGGCGUGGCUUCCGGAGCUAACGCGUUAAAUCGACCGCCUGGGGAGUACGGCCGCAAGGUUAAAACUCAAAUGAAUUGACGGGGGCCCGCACAAGCGGUGGAGCAUGUGGUUUAAUUCGAUGCAACGCGAAGAACCUUACCUGGUCUUGACAUCCACAGAACUUUCCAGAGAUGGAUUGGUGCCUUCGGGAACUGUGAGACAGGUGCUGCAUGGCUGUCGUCAGCUCGUGUUGUGAAAUGUUGGGUUAAGUCCCGCAACGAGCGCAACCCUUAUCCUUUGUUGCCAGCGGUCCGGCCGGGAACUCAAAGGAGACUGCCAGUGAUAAACUGGAGGAAGGUGGGGAUGACGUCAAGUCAUCAUGGCCCUUACGACCAGGGCUACACACGUGCUACAAUGGCAUAUACAAAGAGAAGCGACCUCGCGAGAGCAAGCGGACCUCAUAAAGUAUGUCGUAGUCCGGAUUGGAGUCUGCAACUCGACUCCAUGAAGUCGGAAUCGCUAGUAAUCGUAGAUCAGAAUGCUACGGUGAAUACGUUCCCGGGCCUUGUACACACCGCCCGUCACACCAUGGGAGUGGGUUGCAAAAGAAGUAGGUAGCUUAACCUUCGGGAGGGCGCUUACCACUUUGUGAUUCAUGACUGGGGUGAAGUCGUAACAAGGUAACCGUAGGGGAACCUGCGGUUGGAUCACCUCCUUA
RNAcentral lists this ribosomal RNA (1540 nucleotides) under Klebsiella variicola. RNAcentral describes it as "bacterial SSU rRNA". It matches the Rfam family "Bacterial small subunit ribosomal RNA". RNAcentral also lists the same sequence under 1 other name. The record is from RNAcentral. Lineage: Bacteria; Pseudomonadati; Pseudomonadota; Gammaproteobacteria; Enterobacterales; Enterobacteriaceae.